CGAAUUGAAGGCUGAAAUUCGCCUUCAUGAAGUCGGAAUUGCUAGUAAUGGCAGGUCAGCAUACUGCCGUGAAUACGUUCCCGGGCCUUGUACACACCGCCCGUCACACCAUGAGAGUUGGAGAUACCCGAAGCCUGUGAGCUAACUUUUAGAGGCAGCAGUCGAAGGUAGAAUCAAUGAUUGGGGUGAAGUCGUAACAAGGUAGC
RNAcentral lists this ribosomal RNA (206 nucleotides) under uncultured bacterium. RNAcentral's name for it is "partial 16S ribosomal RNA". It matches the Rfam family "Bacterial small subunit ribosomal RNA", at positions 1294 to 1500 of the family's 1533-position model. The record is from RNAcentral.